UCGGGAGAGGGAGGGAGAACGAGAGCUCAGAGCUGCGUGAAGUGCAUUGACGACUCAGACAAGGAAAGGGGAAAAGUCGCCAGACACACGAAAAAGUCGCCAGAUUUGUUGUCAGUCGCUAGAUAAGAUUUGCAGUCGCCAGAGACGGCCAAAAGUCGCUAAAUCUAGCGACAAAGUCGCUAAAUUGGCAACACUGAUGACACCACGAAAGACGUACAUUGCGCAGAGCCGCAAGAUUCCUUGGACCACACACAUAUCAAGUUCAAACAAUGUAAGUUGCAUAAUUUUCAGAAAUUCAUUUAAACUAGCGGAUAGGUAGCCUUAAUCAAUGCUUGCAACACUGUCGGAAAAAAGUUUCUCCUUCUAUUUUUUAAGUUGUAGGCUACAGGUGACGAAAGCACAGGUUGACGGAACCAACGGUUUGGGACUCGUUUUCCGACUGGUGUUUUUUAUUUGCAACACAGAUUAAUUUAGCUCGGCAGUUAGCCUGCCAUCGACCAGUGGGGCAUACUACGAAUCUCGAUUAGUGGGUUAGCGAGGUAUGUUGCGCUCAAAGCCAGGGUAUGCUGUCAUACGAAAGUGGAUUUGUUUUAGCGUCGCUGUAUCACCAUGGUAUCUUAUGCUCGCAACCAAACCUGGUCGGGAGCAGGUUAUGUGCUUAGUUAUAGCUCAAAUCGUGAAAAAUCACCGCCCUCUGACCAAUUCUAACCAAUCCAUUAUCUUGGAUAACGAAGUUAUCUCACGUGUGCUAAUCUGUCAAACUUCGAACAGGUUCAGCCCCGCCUCUGCAAACAUUUUGAAUCUCGAAGGCGCUUUUAACUAUGUUGCGCGUGCAAAUAUGUCACUACUAUGGACGUGCAUACCAUGCAAUAUUUGAUGACCAUCGAUUUUUUGAUGUUAUGGGUUAGACACUAAAAAAGACCACCCUAGAUUUCUGUGCCGUUCAUAAAUGCGGAAGUAAUCGUUGGUUAACCGAGGCUGUCUUGUGCGUCUCCACGUUUCCCGAUUGGUCAAAGUCACCCCAACCACGAGAACGCGCACAGAUCUGAGCUGAAAGCCUAGUUUGAUAAAUUCAUCCUUGAGUGAGUUUCGUAGUACCACUCAACUCUGAUUGCGACUUUCGUUUUUAGCAAUCCAGGUUAUCCAAAGAAAACCUGGUUAUGUUCAACGAGAUUCGUAGUAUACCCCACAGGUUAGUUCAGAAGCAUAUGUUACCCCAGCAACUCAGCUGAGAUUCCUGUUAGCAGGAGUAAUGGAACCGAGCUCUCUCUAAAAUUAGCGAGGCUUAUCAAAGUUAGCCGCGAUUUACGGUUAGCUCGCUUGAUGGAAUACCCCCUUGGUCGGGAGCAGGUUAUGUGCUAAGUUAUAGCUCAAAUCGUGAAAAACUACCGCCCUCUGGCCAAUUCUAACCAAUCCAUUAUCUUGAAAGACGAAGUUAUCUCACGUGUGCUAAUCUGUCAUACUUAGAACAAGUUCAGCCCCGCCUCUGCAAACAUUUUGAAACUCGAAGGCGCUUUUAACUAGGUUGCGCGUGCAAAUAUGUCACUACUAUGGACGUGCAUACCAUGCAAUAUUUGAUGACCAUCGAUUUUCUGAUGUUAUGGGUUAGACACUAAAAAAGACCACCCUAGAUUUCUCUGCCGCUCAUAAAUGCGGAAGUAAUCGUUGGUUAACUGUCUUGUGCGUCUCCACGUUUCCCGAUUGGUCAAAGUCACCCCAACCACGAGAACGCGCACAGAUCUGAGCUGAAAGCCUAGUUGGACAAAUUCAUCCUUGAGUGAGUUUCGUAGUACCACUCAACUCUGAUUGCGACUUUCGUUUUUAGCAAUCCAGGUUAUCCAAAGAAAACCUGGUUAUGUUCAACGAGAUUCGUAGUAUACCCCACCGGUGUUCUCGUCUGUGUUCAUACUCGUAGGGCAAUGUUUAUCGUUACCAUGGCAAUUUGUACUUUCUGCCUUGCUCUGCAAGCAGGCUUUCUUGCAAAGUGAAAACCAGCGCCCCAAGUGGUUGCGUUCCUAUCGAAGAGCAGCUCCAAUGUUGAGUCCCAUAGACCGACUUUUCAAAAAAAUACUACGCAGCUAUACCAGCGAUCCCCAGAUAGCAAACUUCAUUGAUUUAAAGUUGAAAAUUGGUCAGAUUGGUUGAUGUUUGGUUGAAUUUAAAAAGUCAACAUCAAUUCAAUGUUUAAGUGUAAUCAUAAUUUCAACGUUGAAAAACUGGCGUUGAAUCAACAUUGCUUAAAGGUUGGGUUUCCCAUGAUUUAAAGUUAAGCAUUUCAUCAACAUUGUUUCAAUGUCAAUGUUCCGAAGGUAUGGGCCAAAGAUUCUAGAAUAGAGCUUUGGUACGCGCUUUAAUCAACCAUCCAAUCAGCAAGCAGCAUUUUAUUUGAAUUUUCUCCCGGAGGAGUUGGAUCCUCUCGCUGCAGUGCAAACGUUAAGAGAAGAAGACGUAGAAGUAUCAGCUUAACGUUUGUAAAGGUAAGUUCGACAUUUCUCAUUUUUUAUCGGUCACUAUUGAGAAACUAAACUAGAAAAAGUUGUUGAAUAGGUUAUUCCAAGAUGUAGUUCGACCGUGUUGGUGAAAUAACUGAAUUUGGUGUUCGUUAGUGCUAACAUCAUUAUGCUAGUGAGUUAGAUUAGCUAGCUAUUAUGUUAAUAUUCGUUUUUAGACUUGAAGUUGGAAAGGUUGCUAUUGAUUCACGGUUAAAUUGUUAUCGAUACGUGGAUGGUUAGUCUAGUGUUGGUUGGUUGGUUACCAUUAACAGGUACAUCCAUUUUGAAGAUUGGAGCACCAGAACUAACUGCUAACCGUUAGCUUCGUAGCAGCUAAUAGCUAGCAGAGCUCCAGCCCCUGCCGUGACCCAGCUUUCCCGAAGGGAGCUCUCAACACCUGGGACCGUUGAUCCGCUGAGCUCGGUAGCAAGAGUGCUAUGAAUAUUACCGACACACGUAAAAGAAUGAUCUGCAUAUGCGUUGGCGACUCUGGUCGUAGGUGUGACCCACUGUUUCACUGACUAGCUAAUCAGAAAACCAUCGUCAAAUAUUGCCUUUCAAACAAUUUCAAACCACUCGUCAGCCAGCGCUUUUGCUGCCCAAACUUCUAAAACGUAGGCAAUCAUUUUUCACUGCUAGCAAUCCUCGUGGGUCGUGGAGGGCUCGUCAGUCAGCUCUUCCCAUAUGGAAAAUAUAGAAAGAACUUAUAUGCCAGCAAUGUGUCUUAUAUACAAAACUUGUAUGGUUUACUCUUGAAAGUGGCCCCUUUCUCGUUUUCCUCAUACAACGUCAUAUUAUAGCUGCUAGUCCUUACAGGUUACAAUGUUUUAUGUUUCAGGUUACACAGAUUUAGCAAGGAUCUUAUAAUGGUUUCACUGGCAUAUAAACCUGAUAUGAGUAAAUCAUAAACGUUUUGUAUAUAAAACACAUUGCUGGCAUAUAAGUUUUUCUAUAUCUUUUCCGUAUGGGUUUUGCUCACAACAAUUCUCAUUUUGGUAGAUUGUGGUCGUCUUAAAUAUCCAUAUAAUGUCAUGUCUCAUGACCGGUCUCAUUGACAGUGGUCUUCUGUCACCACUGUAUCCCCAAAUUAUUGUUUCUAUCUUUUUGUUGCAUAGCUACAGCUCACUUCAUCAUCCUAGGUAUGCCACAGCUUCCCCCCCACACACUCCCAUUUGAAACUCCAAAUAUAUGCCUAAAGUGUCCCCUCUUCUUUCUCCUUGUGCAGAUGUCCUGGCUCUCAACAAAGGCACCAGACAGGAUUGUUUUUUCUCUUGCAUAAGCACUUCCUGAUGUCCACUACACUCUUUUCUCAAUCUUCUCCAGUCUUUUGCAAACUGUGAUGUUCAGAUGUCCUAUAAGCCUGACUUCCUGAUGUCCACUACACUCCGUUCUCAACCUUCUCCGGUCUUCUGCAAACUGUGAAUGCCUCCUUGUGUUGGAUUCAUGAUGUUCACCAUACUGCACGGCCGACUUUUUUCUUCGCAAGCUAUGGAAAGAAACUCUGUUCAGCUCAUGAAACGGACUGUUCACAUUUUUUUACUUUUGUGGAGGAAGCAGGGUAUCCUGGUAAUUUAAUUUUGCAGCUACUAUGCUCUCGUAUAUAGGCCCAACAAAGAGAGAAAUCUGAACUGGCAAAGCUGCUCUAUAUGCAUCACAGGUCGAUAUUGUUGACCUUCACAAAUCAGUUUCAGUUGUACAUUUAGAUAAUUCCAAACAUUGAUGUCAACACACUGCUGUUCUUGUACCUAAUAAUAACUUUGAGUUAGUCAUGGCAAAAUGUGUGCGAAAUAUGUGAUGGUUGACUUCAAAGUAAGCACUCAUGUUUGACACAUUGAACUUGUAGUAGAGUUGUUUGCAUUAAUUGAACAGGCCAUCUUUGUUUUUUUGUAUGUGAAGGUCAUUAACAAGGAAUAAAAUGAUUGUUUCGUAUUAAACACCUUUGUUAUUCAUUUUGCUUAGUGAGACUUGAGACAAAUGUUAAGCCAACUUGAAUUCAUGGUUAUUAUGGCAAUGGUAUGUUUGGGGAACUGUGCUUUUUUUAUUACUUAAAAUCUUCAUUUUUACUGUUCAAAGCGCAGUUUGUUGCACUGUAUUUAUUACGGACAUGUUAGGCCAGCCGAUACAACCUUUACCGGCAGCUGGUUCCAGAACCUCACUGCGUAAGUUAAAGUGUUACGUUG
Long non-coding RNA from Sardina pilchardus (European sardine), 4672 nucleotides. RefSeq lists it as uncharacterized. The transcript is spliced from 3 exons. The record is from RefSeq and is a predicted model, not a curated record. NCBI's taxonomy places the organism in Eukaryota, Metazoa, Chordata, Actinopteri, Clupeiformes, Clupeidae.